Molecule: ribosomal RNA, 492 nt
Filed under: uncultured bacterium
Lineage: Bacteria
Description: partial 16S ribosomal RNA
Rfam family: Bacterial small subunit ribosomal RNA
Source: RNAcentral
AGUGAACGCUGGCGGUAGGCCUAACACAUGCAAGUCGAACGGCAGCACAGUAAUAGCUUGCUCUUACGGGUGGCGAGUGGCGGACGGUUGAGGAAUACAUCGGAAUCUACUUUUUCGUGGGGGCUAACGUAGGGAAACUUACGCUAAUACCGCAUACGACCUACGUGUGAAAGCAGCGGAUCUUCGGACCUUGCGCGAUUGAAUGAGCCGAGGUCGGAUUAGCUAGUUGGCGGGGUAAAGGCCCACCAAGGCGACGAUCCGUAGCUGGUCUGAGAGGAUGAUCAGCCACACUGGAACUGAGACACGGUCCAGACUCCUACGGGAGGCAGCAGUGGGGAAUAUUGGACAAUGGGCGAAAGCCUGAUCCAGCCAUACCGCGUGGGUGAAGAAGGCCUUCGGGUUGUAAAGCCCUUUUGUUGGGAAAGAAAAGCAGCAGGUUAAUACCCCGCUGUUCUGACGGUACCAAAAGAAUAAGCACCGGCUAACUUCGUG